CCAUUGUUCUACCUUCUCUCUAGGUCACUAAAAAUUUGAAUUGCACUCACCACUUGUCGCCACCAUCUCUUUUGAUUUUUUUUUUUUUUGUGUUGUAUUUAUUAGUUAAGAAAUAGCUUCCGAGCGUUCCAAAAAAAAAACAGCUUCCGAAGAAAUCUAUAUUUUACAAGGCCGAGAAAAGAAAACUCGGAAUAGGGCAUAACAUUAUAGAGGGAUAAAACUAAAAAAAAAGAAAACCCUAUCGAAGAAAAUCGCACAAAAUCAGAGACGACCCUUCAGAUCAAAUGCCGCUGAACAAUCUUAGAUCCAUGACUGCGCUGUGCCGCAAUUUCUCAACGGGAUCUCGCCAUAAUUCGUAUUCAUCCCGUAAUAUUUAUGUGAAGAAGGGAGCGAGGUUGUUAACUAGAGUUUCAGGACUGGCUGUAGGAGUUGGCCUAGGUUAUAUGUUUGUUGGAGAUAUGACAACCGCUCUUGAGAAAGACCGGCAAAAGGUAUGAAACAAAAUCAAGA
This is a long non-coding RNA of Raphanus sativus (radish), 510 nucleotides long. RefSeq lists it as uncharacterized. NCBI's taxonomy places the organism in Eukaryota, Viridiplantae, Streptophyta, Magnoliopsida, Brassicales, Brassicaceae. The record is from RefSeq and is a predicted model, not a curated record. The transcript has 4 exons.